This 73-nucleotide transfer RNA is filed under the name bacterium. Its description in RNAcentral is "tRNA-Ala". It matches the Rfam family "tRNA". Rfam says of the family: Transfer RNA (tRNA) molecules are approximately 80 nucleotides in length. Their secondary structure includes four short double-helical elements and three loops (D, anti-codon, and T loops). Further hydrogen bonds mediate the characteristic L-shaped molecular structure. tRNAs have two regions of fundamental functional importance: the anti-codon, which is responsible for specific mRNA codon recognition, and the 3' end, to which the tRNAs corresponding amino acid is attached (by aminoacyl-tRNA synthetases). tRNAs cope with the degeneracy of the genetic code in two manners: having more than one tRNA (with a specific anti-codon) for a particular amino acid; and 'wobble' base-pairing, i.e. permitting non-standard base-pairing at the 3rd anti-codon position. The record is from RNAcentral.
GGGGGUAUAGCUCAGCUGGUAGAGCGCGUCGUUCGCAAUGACGAGGCCAGGGGUUCGAAUCCCCUUACCUCCA